UGGGGAAUAUUGGGCAAUGGGCGAAAGCCUGACCCAGCAACGCCGCGUGAGGGAUGAAUGUUUUCGGAUUGUAAACCUCUGUCCUCAGGGACGAAGGAAGUGACGGUACCUGAGGAGGAAGCCCCGGCUAACUACGUGCCAGCAGCCGCGGUAAUACGUAGGGGGCGAGCGUUGUCCGGAAUGACUGGGCGUAAAGGGCGCGUAGGCGGCUGUGUAAGUCUGGAGUGAAAGUCCUGCUUUUAAGGUGGGAAUUGCUUUGGAGACUGCAUGGCUUGAGUGCGGAAGAGGCAAGUGGAAUUCCCAGUGUAGCGGUGAAAUGCGUAGAGAUUGGGAAGAACACCAGUGGCGAAGGCGACUUGCUGGGCCGUAACUGACGCUGAGGCGCGAAAGCGUGGGGAGCGAACA
Molecule: ribosomal RNA, 405 nt
Filed under: uncultured bacterium
Lineage: Bacteria
Description: bacterial SSU rRNA
Rfam family: Bacterial small subunit ribosomal RNA
Source: RNAcentral